GGAAAAUAGAAGACAAUGACAUGUUUAGGGAUAUCAAUUUCUCUUUCUUGACCACUUAUCAAAGAAGUCUUUCUUGAUUAAAUCUACUCCCAUUACCCGAUCUCACCCUUACAAAGCAGGUUUGUGCUUUCAUAGAAUUUUUCAUAUUCACUAGCUUUUACAUGCUCAUGUUCAUUUUAUAAGCAGGUUUCAUUGUAUUUUACAGUGCCUAACUCAGCUUCUCGCCUGCUGGUCAGGCUCUGGAAAGCUGAGUGAAAACAGAAGGCAGCCAGAAGGUGCUGUGGGGACAACUUGCAAUAGUGUCACAUGGCCCUCCUCCCUCUUUCUAUGUGCCCAUGUCCACCUCUAUCCUUGUUGCCACUUCCAGAAGCUUUGUAACCAUGGGCAAGUUACUGAAUCUCCCUGGACUUCAACUUUGACAUUUGUAAAGUAGAGAUGAUAAAGCUUUAGGUCCAAGGCAGUGGUCUCAGCCUUGGCUGCGUAAUGGAAUCAUCUGAAGAACUUUAAAAAAUACUGAUGACUAUGUUGGAUACAGUGAAUUCUGAUUUCUCUUCAAAGAAUCAGUAUGUCAGUAUGUUCAGUUCUUUAUCCUCCAUUUUAAAGUUUAACUUCCUCGUAGUUUCAGUAAACAAGCUUUUCCACCAGUUUUAAUCAGUAUUUCACAUCUGUUCCCCUGGUCACCUGCUCUGUCCUGACUCAUCCCAGUCACCUGCUUUGACCUGAGUCACCCCUGGUCACCAGCUCUGACCUAAGUCACCUUUAGUUACCUGUUCCUAACCGUCCUUCCUGCAAAACUACCCACCCUGCCACUCUGGCUGAUACCCCUGCUCUCUUUAAAAUAGCCAAUCAGAAUUAGCUUAGACUGUGUGGUCCAACCCUCGCCAAGAGGGGAAGGACACAGCAGUAGGGGGCUACCUGCAUCAGGAAUAAGAACCCCUUCCCCUCCCUUGUUCAGGUAUGCUCUUGCCAUUACUCCAUUCGUGACUCGCACCCUUCUAUAGAAGUAAAAAUUGCAUUGCUGAGAAAAUUAAAUUUAUGUUUGAGUGCUAUUUCUUUGCGGCUCCAAGGAACAAGCAUUUUGUUUCUAACAAUCGAGGAACAGGCAUUUUGUUUCUAACAACUGGGUGCAUCCCAGAGCUUCUAAAUUCAUCAGCGUGGUUGUUGCCAGGGAAUGGGAAGCUUUAAAGCUCCCCAGGAGAUUGUAAUGUCCAGCUGAGGUUGAGAACCGAUAUUCUAAGGAGUGUUAUGAUAAUUAAAUGAAACAGAGGGGAAAAAAGCAGCCUAUAAGUAGUAGGAGGUAAAAAAUAAUUUGUUUCUUUCUUUCUCCAGUUAGUUUUACUAUUUAUGUUGAUAGCUGUAUUUGAUCCUAGCUAGAAGCUGAG
RNAcentral lists this long non-coding RNA (1382 nucleotides) under Homo sapiens (human). RNAcentral's name for it is "HSALNT0302419". Lineage: Eukaryota; Metazoa; Chordata; Mammalia; Primates; Hominidae. The record is from RNAcentral.